UAGUGGCGGACGGGUGAGUAACGCGUGAGAAUCUGGCUUCAGGAUGGGGACAACAGUUGGAAACGACUGCUAAUACCGAAUGUGCCGCAAGGUGAAAUAUUUAUAGCCUGAAGAUGAGCUCGCGUCUGAUUAGCUAGUUGGGGAGGUAAAGGCUCACCAAGGCAGCGAUCAGUAGCUGGUCUGAGAGGAUGACCAGCCACACUGGGGCUGAGACACGGCCCAGACUCCUACGGGAGGCAGCAGUGGGGAAUUUUCCGCAAUGGGCGAAAGCCUGACGGAGCAAUACCGCGUGAGGGAGGAAGGCUCUUGGGUUGUAAACCUCUUUUCUUAGGGAAGAAAAAAAUGACGGUACCUAAGGAAUAAGCAUCGGCUAACUCCGUGC
RNAcentral lists this ribosomal RNA (382 nucleotides) under uncultured bacterium. RNAcentral describes it as "bacterial SSU rRNA". It matches the Rfam family "Bacterial small subunit ribosomal RNA", at positions 93 to 508 of the family's 1533-position model. The record is from RNAcentral.